Oenanthe melanoleuca is the source of this 1253-nucleotide long non-coding RNA. RefSeq lists it as uncharacterized. The record is from RefSeq and is a predicted model, not a curated record. NCBI's taxonomy places the organism in Eukaryota, Metazoa, Chordata, Aves, Passeriformes, Muscicapidae. The transcript is spliced from 3 exons.
CAUCACUCAGUCCCUACCUCCAGCAGUGCAAGAGUGUUUUCUUUCCCAGCUGGAGGUCUUGCCAUUUGUUCUUACUGAAUUUUAUGAAGUUUCUGUCAGCCCUUUCCUCCAGCCUGCUGAGUUCUUUAUUGCAAGAGGAAGAUGUUAAACAGGAUGACCCCAGGACAGACCCCUGCUAUUCACCCAGCUAAGCCACCCACUUGGCCAGGUUCUCAUCAUUCGGUACCUGUCUGCUAAAUGAAGGAAAGAGAUACUUCACAGUUUCUUUGGAAGUCCUCUUCUCACUGGACUGCAGCCUUUGAAAGUGUAAUUCACUAAAUGUGAGGGACAAUGAAGUGAGAAUCACUGACUGGCAUCCAGACAAGGUGGCUCUUGCUUCACAGAAAGUGCACAAACAGAAAUUAAUGUCUUUCAGGUCUCAUAUCAAGAAUGCCAUAGGAAUGCUAAACAGCAGAAACUUUUGGGUUGUGUUUGCUAAAUAACCUGACAUGCCUAAAGCAGCCUCACAGUGUUUUUUUCUCUUUAACCAGUGCUUUACUGAAAUUGUCCUUUGGUUUCAGCUUUAGUACUGCCAGCUUGUCUCUUCUGUCUAAACAUCAGAUUCUGGCUGCUUUAGUUCAUCUGUGCAAUGCUGCAGCAACUUUGAUUCCAUGUUCUCAACCACAGGCUGCAAUCUCAAAUGGUCCCUUCAGUAUCCAACCUGAAGGAGCAUACAGAGAAACAGGUAUAAUAACCAGUGGUAUUACCUUUAAAAAUAUUUUCUGAAAAUGCUCUUUCUCUCAUAUUUUUGGAAUUUGCAUGGCUUCUUUAGAUCAUAUUGUGUGAUCUGUUUCUUCCCCUCCCAGUUCUUUCUUUCCUGCUUAGAAACAUGGAGGAAAAGGUAUCCUUAUGCACUUUUCUAUUGCUGGACUUGUUUACAUCUCUUUCUGUACAGAGAAAGAAGAAAGACAAAGCAACAGGGACUUGUAAGGACAAAUCCUGUAUUGACGGGUUUGUAAGAGCAAAUCUGAUGAAACUCCUUAGUGAGCUCCAACUGUGGAGAAACUGCAAAAAUCCAAUAGUUGCAGUGUCAGGAAGCCUUGCUGUGUCAAUUCCAGUCUGUCAAGCUGGAAUUCUCUCUGAUGCAAAUUGCCUUCAUGUAUUGUUAGCACCCCUUUAAUUCAAAAUACAGGAUUAGGUAGAGUUCCACAAGACAUGCCAGUCUUCAGUGGCUGAGUGUUAUUUAGGUAGAUAUAUGUAUAACCUUUUAGGAA